UACGGGGGGAGCAAGCGUUGUUCGGAUUUACUGGGCGUAAAGGGCGCGUAGGCGGUCAGCACAAGUCAGUUGUGAAAUCUCCGGGCUUAACUCGGAAAGGUCAACUGAUACUGUGCGACUAGAGUGCAGAAGGGGCAACUGGAAUUCUCGGUGUAGCGGUGAAAUGCGUAGAUAUCGGGAGGAACACCUGUGGCGAAGGCGGCCCCCUGGUUGGAUACUGACGCUGAUACGCGAAAGCGUGGGGAGCAAACAGG
This 254-nucleotide ribosomal RNA is filed under the name uncultured bacterium. Its description in RNAcentral is "partial 16S ribosomal RNA". It matches the Rfam family "Bacterial small subunit ribosomal RNA", at positions 524 to 776 of the family's 1533-position model. The record is from RNAcentral.